ACACACACACACACACACACACACCCACACACGCACACACAAAAGGCAGAAUGAAAGAUUAUCUUUUACUGCAACAAUUGUCACAAAGACAAUAAACUAAUAGUAACCGACCGUCCCUAGAGCAAAUGGCAAAGGGCUUGGCGGUUGGUACCCGAGACCCAAGUUCGAAUCCUAGUUGAUUCACAUUUCUAGCUAAGUUUAUUUCUAAAUGAAAUAAACAAAGCGGGUAGCGUGCUACCUAUCUCUCAAAAAAAGACAAUAAACUAAUAGUAAGAACAUAAAUAGAUGGGUAGGAAGUGGGGACUUAUUUAAAAUGAGUU
This 320-nucleotide long non-coding RNA is filed under the name Ananas comosus (pineapple). Its description in RNAcentral is "long non-coding RNA (ACOM_LNC022915)". Lineage: Eukaryota; Viridiplantae; Streptophyta; Magnoliopsida; Poales; Bromeliaceae. The record is from RNAcentral.